This 50-nucleotide unclassified non-coding RNA is filed under the name Apis mellifera (honey bee). The record is from RNAcentral. Lineage: Eukaryota; Metazoa; Arthropoda; Insecta; Hymenoptera; Apidae.
GUGAGAGGAUUGGUAUGGGAUGAACAAAGGGGCAAAAUCUUUGUUUUUAG